RNAcentral lists this long non-coding RNA (2478 nucleotides) under Pan troglodytes (chimpanzee). RNAcentral's name for it is "long non-coding RNA NONPTRT016554". The record is from RNAcentral. Lineage: Eukaryota; Metazoa; Chordata; Mammalia; Primates; Hominidae.
CGCGCACACUGCACUCCUUCCCCUGGCAGGUGGGCGGCGGGGCGAGCGGAGAGGCCCGCGGGGCGAGCAGAGAGGCCCGCGGGGCUCGCGGGAGUCCAGGGGCAGACGGGAUGGGUCUCCGUGCUGAAACCCCCGGCGCUCCGGCCACAGCUUAGAGGCAAAGUUAAGAGACUCAUCAGAUUCUGAGCUGCUGCGGGAUAUUUUGCAGAAGACUGUGAGGCAUCCUGUGUGUGAAGCACCCGCCGUCAGUCAAGUAUGCCCGGUGCUUUCUCUCAGAACUCAUCAAAAAGCACGAGGCUGUCCACACGGAGCCUUUGGACGAGCUGUAUGAGGCGCUGGUGGAGACCCUGAUGGCCAAGGAGUGCACCCUGGGCCACUGGAGCUAUUUGCUGCCCUCGGAAGGGUCGGUCACAUUCUCCGAGAGCACAGCCAUCAUCUCCCACGGUACCACAGGCCUGGUCACAUGGGACGCCGCCCUCUACCUUGCAGAACGGGCCAUCGAAAACCCGGUAGCCUUCACUAACAGGUGACCUUGGGGCACAGGGCAGCCGCAGUCUACCUUGCAGAAUGGGUCAUCGAGAACCCGGCAGCCUUCACUAACAGGACGGUCCUAGAGCUUGGCAGUGGCGCCGGCCUUACAGGCCUGUCCGUCUGCAAGAUGUGCCACCCCCGGGCAUACAUCUUCAGCGACUGUCACAGCCGGCUCCUCGAGCAGCUCCGAGGGAAUGUCCUUCUCAAUGGCCUCUCAUUAGAGGCAGACAUCACUGCCAACUUAGACAGCCCCAGGGUGACAGUGGCCCAGCUGGACUGGGACGUAGCGAUGGUCCAUCAGCUCUCUGCCUUCCAGCCAGAUGUUGUCAUUGCAGCAGUAACCUGAAGCUUUCACCGUAGACUUGCUGUAUUGCCCAGAAGCCAUCGUGUCACUGGUCGGGGUUCUGUGGAGGCUGGCUGCCUGCCAAGAGCACAAGCGGGCUCCUGAGGUCUACAUGGCCUUUACCGUCCGCAACCCAGAGACGUGCCAGCUGUUCACCACGGAGCUAGGCUGGGCUGGGAUCAGAUGGGAAGCGGAAGCUCAUCAUGACCAGAAACUGUUUCCCUACGGAGAGCACUUGGAGAUGGCAAUGCUGAACCUCACACUGUAGGACUCACACACGACUCCAACGGGAUUGUGAGAAUCAAGUCACUCUCGUGGGAAGAAUUUUUAUAUGAGAAAGGGGAUAAAACUUUCAUUGGACUGGAAUGUUUGGAGAAUGUUAAAUUCCAAAUCAGGAACCACAAACUGCCCUCUAAUAAGACAUCGGCUAUCUAAGCGUGUGGGUGCCCCCUUUCUGCCAGCAGUUCUGGUUCUUAAGAAAAUCACCAUAAAUCAGACAUGAAAAUUCUGGCUCCAAAAAUAGCAUUUUCUUUGUGCAAAUAAAAACGUGUGUAUCAACUAUGACGUUCCCCCACGUGGACACACUCGGUUCCUCAUAAAACCAAGCCUGCUGCAGCUGCCACAUCCCUGGACACAUUCGAUUCCUCACAAAGCCAAGCCCGCUGCAGUUGCCACAUCCCCGGACACACUCGGUUCCUCACAAAUCUAAGCCCGCUGCAGCUGCCACAUCCCUGGGCUUAUGGUGCAGCAGGUGCUUUUUUCAAGACAGGAAUCAAAGUGUUAGGAACAUGGAAGAAAGGUGACACCUGGAGACCAAAUGCAGGAUUGGGAGUACUGUAGAGGUCACAGGGAAGUCACAGAACAGUAAUAUGCUAGCAGGGGCAUGGGGCGUGAAGAACAGAAGACAGGAAGCGUUUCGGAGACUCCAAAGAAGAAAUCAGGGCCAACCACAGCUUCCCGGGUCAUUCACCAGGUGGCACCACUGCCGUCAUUUCAGCUUCUGGCCACUGGGAGGCGCUGCUCAAAAGGAUUUGCCCUGAGACUCCAAGAAGAAGCUGUGGGAAGGACAGCAGGGGCCCUGGGGUUUUAGCCUCUGGCCCAGGAGUUAUGUGUCCAUAACCAAAGGGAGCACAGUCUGCACCCAGCUCUCAUCCCAUCAGAGCUGCUGAGACUCCCGCAGGUUCUUCCAGAACUGGUUUAGCUUGCCUGCAGGAUCAGGAAAGUUUGAGAAAGGCAUCUGCAAAAUACUAAAGAGCAGAGCUUACCUCAUUGCCUGUCCCCACCCCAUCCCAGGUCACCACCUGGAUGACCCCAGCUCCCCGACCCAACAACAACCCCUCCCAAGUCCCUAACUCCCUCACUUGGACUUGAGACCCUUCACACCCCAGCAGCGCUCUGCCUCCAACUUGACAUCAUGCUUUCUGGAAACUUCCCCGUAUGUCCCACUUUCCCACACUUGGUGCGCUGGAGCACCUUCCGGCCUCCACAUGCUGUACGUUCCCCUGUGAGCACCGUCCUCUCAGCCUCUGGCCAACACAGUCCCACCCAUCUGUGGGUAACAAGGGGGUGUGGGUGUUCUUUACAGCCUUGCUAAACUGUCUGAA